AUUGAACGCUGGCGGAAUGCUUUAAACAUGCAAGUCGAACGGCAGCACGGACUUCGGUCUGGUGGCGAGUGGCGAACGGGUGAGUAAUGUAUCGGAACGUGUCCAGGCGUGGGGGAAAACGUCGUGAAAAAUAAGAUAAUCCCGCAUACUAUCAAUGGAUGAAAGCGGGGGAACGCAAAACCUCGCGCGAUUGGAGCGGCCGAUCUCAUAUUAGGUAGUUGGUGGGGUAAAGGCCCACCAAGCCAACGAUCUGUAGCUGGCCGGAGAGGAAGACGAGCCACACUAGAGGUGAGCCACGGCCCAGACGACGGCGGGAGGCAGCAGUGGUGAAGUAUGGACAAUGGGCGAAAGCCUGAUCCAGCAAGGCCGCGUGCUGGAUGAAGACUCUCGUGUUGUAAACUGCUUUUGUACAGAACGAAAAGGUUUCUACUAAUACUAGGAGCUCAUGACGGUACUGUAAGAAUAAGCACCGGCUAACUAUGUGCCAGCAGCCGCGGUAA
RNAcentral lists this ribosomal RNA (500 nucleotides) under uncultured bacterium. RNAcentral describes it as "partial 16S ribosomal RNA". It matches the Rfam family "Bacterial small subunit ribosomal RNA", at positions 30 to 523 of the family's 1533-position model. The record is from RNAcentral.